GAUGAACGCUGGCGGCGUGCCUAAUACAUGCAAGUCGAGCGAACAGACGAGGAGCUUGCUCCUCUGACGUUAGCGGCGGACGGGUGAGUAACACGUGGAUAACCUACCUAUAAGACUGGGAUAACUUCGGGAAACCGGAGCUAAUACCGGAUAAUAUAUUGAACCGCAUGGUUCAAUAGUGAAAGACGGUUUUGCUGUCACUUAUAGAUGGAUCCGCGCCGCAUUAGCUAGUUGGUAAGGUAACGGCUUACCAAGGCAACGAUGCGUAGCCGACCUGAGAGGGUGAUCGGCCACACUGGAACUGAGACACGGUCCAGACUCCGACGGGAGGCAGCAGUAGGGAAUCUUCCGCAAUGGGCGAAAGCUUGACGGAGCAACGCCGCGUGAGUGAUGAAGGUCUUCGGAUCGUAAAACUCUGUUAUUAGGGAAGAACAAAUGUGUAAGUAACUAUGCACGUCUGGACGGUACCUAAUCAGAAAGCCACGGCUAACUACGG
Molecule: ribosomal RNA, 496 nt
Filed under: uncultured bacterium
Lineage: Bacteria
Description: partial 16S ribosomal RNA
Rfam family: Bacterial small subunit ribosomal RNA
Source: RNAcentral